GUUAAGGUGGCAGAGCCCGGUAAUUGCAAAAGACCUAAGCCCUUUCAACAGAGGUUCAAAUCCUCUCCUCAACU
This 74-nucleotide transfer RNA is filed under the name Cottus beldingii (Paiute sculpin). RNAcentral describes it as "tRNA-Leu". It matches the Rfam family "tRNA". Rfam says of the family: Transfer RNA (tRNA) molecules are approximately 80 nucleotides in length. Their secondary structure includes four short double-helical elements and three loops (D, anti-codon, and T loops). Lineage: Eukaryota; Metazoa; Chordata; Actinopteri; Perciformes; Cottidae. RNAcentral also lists the same sequence under 2 other names. The record is from RNAcentral.